This 424-nucleotide ribosomal RNA is filed under the name uncultured bacterium. RNAcentral describes it as "partial 16S ribosomal RNA". It matches the Rfam family "Bacterial small subunit ribosomal RNA", at positions 360 to 776 of the family's 1533-position model. The record is from RNAcentral.
AAUUUUGGACAAUGGGGGAAACCCUGAUCCAGCCAUCCCGCGUGUAUGAUGAAGGCCUUCGGGUUGUAAAGUACUUUUGGCAGAGAAGAAAAGGUAUCUCCUAAUACGAGAUACUGCUGACGGUAUCUGCAGAAUAAGCACCGGCUAACUACGUGCCAGCAGCCGCGGUAAUACGUAGGGUGCAAGCGUUAAUCGGAAUUACUGGGCGUAAAGCGCGCGUAGGUGGUUCGUUAAGUUGGAAGUGAAAGCCCCGGGCUUAACCUGGGAAUUGCUUUCAAAACUGACGAGCUAGAGUAUGUCAGAGGGGGGUAGAAUUCCACGUGUAGCAGUGAAAUGCGUAGAUAUGUGGAGGAAUACCGAUGGCGAAGGCAGCCCCCUGGGAUAAUACUGACGCUCAGACACGAAAGCGUGGGGAGCAAACAGG